Molecule: ribosomal RNA, 524 nt
Filed under: uncultured bacterium
Lineage: Bacteria
Description: partial 16S ribosomal RNA
Rfam family: Bacterial small subunit ribosomal RNA
Source: RNAcentral
GACGAACGCUGGCGGCGUGCCUAAUACAUGCAAGUCGAGCGCAGGAAACUGACGGAACUCUUCGGAGGGAAGGCAGUGGAAUGAGCGGCGGACGGGUGAGUAACACGUAAGGAACCUGCCUCAAGGAUUGGGAUAACUCCGAGAAAUCGGAGCUAAUACCGGAUAGUUCAACGGACCGCACGGUCCGCUGAUGAAAGGCGCUUCGGCGUCACCUUGAGAUGGCCUUGCGGUGCAUUAGCUAGUUGGUGGGGUAACGGCCCACCAAGGCGACGAUGCAUAGCCGACCUGAGAGGGUGAUCGGCCACACUGGGACUGCGACACGGCCCAGACUCCUACGGGAGGCAGCAGUAGGGAAUCUUCCACAGUGGACGAAAGUCUGAUGGAGCAACGCCGCGUGAGUGAUGAAGGUUUUCGGAUCGUAAAACUCUGUUGUAAGGGAAGAACACGUACGAGAGGAAAUGCUCGUACCUUGACGGUACCUUACGAGAAAGCCACGGCUAACUACGUGCCAGCAGCCGCCGUAA